Mycena epipterygia is the source of this 94-nucleotide non-coding RNA. NCBI's taxonomy places the organism in Eukaryota, Fungi, Basidiomycota, Agaricomycetes, Agaricales, Mycenaceae. The record is from the annotation of a GenBank genome assembly.
GCUUCGUCGUGUAGAGGUUAUCGCGUCUGCUUGUUUAGCUUCAACUCAAGUAAGUUUUGCGCGGAGGGCCUCGGUUCGAAUCCGAGUGGCAGCG